RNAcentral lists this unclassified non-coding RNA (345 nucleotides) under soil metagenome. RNAcentral describes it as "partial contains 5.8S ribosomal RNA, internal transcribed spacer 2, and large subunit ribosomal RNA". The stretch from base 1 to 119 matches the Rfam family "5.8S ribosomal RNA", at positions 35 to 154 of the family's 154-position model. The record is from RNAcentral.
GAUGAAGAACGUAGCGAAAUGCGAUACGUAAUGUGAAUUGCAAAUUCAGUGAAUCAUCGAGUCUUUGAACGCACAUUGCGCCCCCUGGUAUUCCGGGGGGCAUGCCUGUCCGAGCGUCAUUGCUGCCCUCAAGCACGGCUUGUGUGUUGGGCCCCGUCCUCCGAUCCCGGGGGACGGGCCCGAAAGGCAGCGGCGGCACCGCGUCCGGUCCUCGAGCGUAUGGGGCUUUGUCACCCGCUCUGUAGGCCCGGCCGGCGCUUGCCGAUCAACCCAAAUUUUUAUCCAGGUUGACCUCGGAUCAGGUAGGGAUACUCGCUGAACUUAAGCAUAUCAAUAAGCGGAGGA